This 207-nucleotide ribosomal RNA is filed under the name uncultured bacterium. Its description in RNAcentral is "partial 16S ribosomal RNA". It matches the Rfam family "Bacterial small subunit ribosomal RNA", at positions 568 to 774 of the family's 1533-position model. The record is from RNAcentral.
CGCGUAGGCGGGUCAGCAAGUCCGGGGUGAAAGCUUUCGGCUCAACCGGAAAAGGGCCUUGGAUACUGCUGGUCUGGAGGAAGGUAGGGGCGUGUGGAACUUCCGGUGGAGCGGUGAAAUGCGUAGAUAUCGGAAGGAACGCCGGUGGCGAAAGCGACACGCUGGACCUUUUCUGACGCUGAGGCGCGAAAGCCAGGGGAGCAAACG